AAGUCGUAACAAGGUUUCCGUAGGUGAACCUGCGGAAGGAUCAUUAACACUUACACAAAGUUCUACUUUAUGUAUUUAACACAAAAUUCGUGCUCCUUUCUUUUUUCACACCAUUAACCCCAUUUAUUAUUUUAUUUUAUAUCUAUACAUAUAUCUAAAAAGUAUUUGUAUUUAUUAGUUGUAAUAAUAGUAGAAGAUAGAAAUGUAUAAUGCAUAACUAUGUUCUAUGAGUAUACACAACUCUUACCAAUGGAUAUCUUGGCUCUC
This 267-nucleotide unclassified non-coding RNA is filed under the name fungal sp. RNAcentral describes it as "partial internal transcribed spacer region". The stretch from base 1 to 46 matches the Rfam family "Eukaryotic small subunit ribosomal RNA", at positions 1786 to 1831 of the family's 1831-position model. Lineage: Eukaryota; Fungi. The record is from RNAcentral.